AGUGAACGCUGGCGGUAGGCCUAACACAUGCAAGUCGAACGGCAGCACAGUAAGAGCUUGCUCUUACGGGUGGCGAGUGGCGGACGGGUGAGGAAUACAUCGGAAUCUACUUUUUCGUGGGGGAUAACGUAGGGAAACUUACGCUAAUACCGCAUACGACCUACGGGUGAAAGCAGGGGAUCUUCGGAUCUUGCGCGAUUGAAUGAGCCGAUGUCGGAUUAGCUAGUUGGCGGGGUAAAGGCCCACCAAGGCGACGAUCCGUAGCUGGUCUGAGAGGAUGAUCAGCCACACUGGAACUGAGACACGGUCCAGACUCCUACGGGAGGCAGCAGUGGGGAAUAUUGGACAAAGGGCGCAAGCCUGAUCCAGCCAUACCGCGUGGGUGAAGAAGGCCUUCGGGUUGUAAAGCCCUUUUGUUGGGAAAGAAAAGCAGCAGGUUAAUACCCCGCUGUUCUGACGGUACCCAAAGAAUAAGCACCGGCUAACUUCGUG
This 492-nucleotide ribosomal RNA is filed under the name uncultured bacterium. RNAcentral's name for it is "partial 16S ribosomal RNA". It matches the Rfam family "Bacterial small subunit ribosomal RNA", at positions 29 to 507 of the family's 1533-position model. The record is from RNAcentral.